RNAcentral lists this long non-coding RNA (1454 nucleotides) under Heterocephalus glaber (naked mole-rat). Its description in RNAcentral is "lncRNA (ENSHGLG00000043738.1)". The record is from RNAcentral. Lineage: Eukaryota; Metazoa; Chordata; Mammalia; Rodentia; Bathyergidae.
CCCACCCCCACCAGCCUCCAUCGCCAGCUUCGCUCGCCGCCGCCACCGCCUCUUCUUGUCGUCAUGGAAACGGGAUCCAGGCGCCCAGCCAAGGCUGGCUGCGGCGGCCGGAAACGGGGGGGCGCUGCUCCGCGUCCCCACUCCGAGCGACCUCUGCCCUCCCGGGGUCCUCCCCGCCAGGAGGCAGGGCAAAGAUCCCCUCCCAAGGAAAACCCUUAAAUUUACCAGGGGAGCGGGCGUUUUGAGUUUCACCGACUCGUCUUUCUCUCUUUGUGCCCUAACCUACCCCUACCUCACACCUGGGGGCACAGUGAGGCCCCCGCCAGCGCGGGCCUGGGGCUGGGCUUGCGGCUGGAGGAACGUGCGUGUGAAAAGCUGAGUGCAGACAGCUCACGGUCCGAUGGGCGGCAGUUUUGAGAAGAAAGGCUUCGUCCCCCUGCAGAACCGGCCAGCGAGUCCCGGGCGGCCGGAGCCGGGGACUCUGGCGGCGGGCCAAAGUUUGGGCUCGGUCGGAACCUCGGGGUUGUCCCUGAGCCACUGUGUGACCUUGGCCCAAACACUUCUGUCUCCGAACUGUGUGUCGGGAAUCAGGGGCCACACACUGCUGGGAGCAGCCUCGCCGCGCGGUUGGGAGGGCGCGGGCAGUCGCUGGACUUCAGAGGCCCGGGCCCGGUUCCCGGCCUUCCGCCCUGCGAGCCUGAGCGGGACCCUGGCUGCCGACCUGCCCCUCUGCACCCUCUGCCGUGCGUCCAUCCGUCCACCUACCCCAGGGCUGCUCUCGGCCACUUUCAGGACUGCCAGGUGUCAGCUCCGUGCCGUUCACCCCUACCCUGCCCCACGGGAGCUGGGAGAAGCCUUCCCACCACUCCAGACUCCGGAGAGACCUCCAGGGAUGAAAUGAGCCAGGCUUCUCACUGUGGCGCUGCAGGCCCGGCCCGGGCAUCCUCUGGCCUUUGUGACUGCCCUGUCUCACACCUGGUCUCUCCAGUGUCACCCCCAGAAAUGUCUCCAGAGGGUGUCGAUGUCCCAGGUUAAGAGCCAUUUAAGGAAUCGGACUCAGGACUUUUCGCUUUUGAGGCAGGAAGCGGAACCACUGAGCUAAAUCCCCAGCCUAUAUCACUCAUCUAUUGAUGGGCAUCUGGCUGGCUUCCACAUUUCAUCUAUUAUGAAUGAUGCUGCUGUGAACAUCUGAGUUUUGCAGAGAUGUUUGUUUUGCUAUCUCCUGGAUGACUAAAGUCACGUGUUAGCCCCUGUGAACACCCUGCAGCAUGGGGAAGGGACUUUCAGAAGGGGCGGUCUCUCUGGACCUCGUCCUACACUGGCUCUUGAACUCACCUUACCCUGCCAAGGCUUCCAAGGUGCUGGCGCUCUCAUCAGCUGCAGCUGGGCCCUUUGUGUUUCUCAAGAGGCGAGAGGCACAGCGUGGCCCUCGCUCUUCCUGCGGCACCAGGAAG